Triticum aestivum (bread wheat) is the source of this 464-nucleotide long non-coding RNA. RefSeq lists it as uncharacterized. The record is from RefSeq and is a predicted model, not a curated record. Lineage: Eukaryota; Viridiplantae; Streptophyta; Magnoliopsida; Poales; Poaceae. The transcript is spliced from 2 exons.
CAGAAAACAGAAUUUCACUUCGGAUAGCUGCAUGUGUACAUAUGUGGUGGAGGAACUCAACAAUUUCCAGUAAAAGCAAACGUUUUUGCAGUCAAAGGUUGUGCUUCUCGAUGAUCAGAUAUUUAUGGCAUGGUUGUUUAUGCUCUGCUCAUGGUCGUGCCUGCGAAGCUGUGAUGACUUGACGACAGGAGAAGUGGUCAGGAUUGAGCCAUCGGACAAGAGAUGACCGCCGUCGAUUACCAACAAAUUUCUGUAUGCCGCAGUGAGCGGGAUGCGUUCAAUUUCUUCAGAUGCUCUGCGCUGCACCCGCUAUAUUUGAUAUGAGUCCACAUGCAAAAUAAAGGCAUCACAUGUUCUGGGUUGUUCAGCUUUUAUUUAUUUAUUUUUCGUGAUUGGAUUAUAUGCUACUCGGUGUUGAAGGGUUUGUUCAUGCCAAAGUUAAUAAAUCUUGUGAUGUUACCAGA